GGGGAUAACGCUGGCGGUAUGCCUAACACAUCCAAGUCGAACGAAAGUUUACCACCUUUAGUUUGGCGGACGGGUGAGUAAUACGUGAGAAUCACUUUAGGAAGGGAAUAACAAUUGGAAACGAUUGCUAAUGCCCUAUAUGCUUAGCAGUGAAACAGAUUUAUCUGCCUGAAGAUGAGCUCGCGCCUGAUUAGCUAGUUGGUAGAGUAAAAGCCUACCAAGGCAACGAUCAGUAGCUGGUUUGAGAGGACGAUCAGCCACACUGGGACUGAGACACGGCCCAGACUUCUACGGAAGGCAGCAGUGGGGAAUUUUCCGCAAUGAGCGAAAGCUUGACGGAGCAAUACCGCGUGAGGGAAGAAUGCCUGUGGGUUGUAAACCUCUUUUAGGGAAGAAAAUAUGACGGUACCUAAAGAAUAAGCAUCGGCUAACUCCGUGCCAGCAGCCGCGGUAAUACGGGGGAUGCAAGCGUUAUCCGGAAUUACUGGGCGUCAAAAGCGUCUGCAGGUGGCUUAACAAAGUCUGCUGUUACACACUAUUAGAGCUCAACUCUGAGUAAAGCAAGUGGAAACUGUUUAGGCUAGAAGUAUGGUAUGGGUACAAGGGAAACUCCCAGUUGUUAAGCCGGGUG
RNAcentral lists this ribosomal RNA (631 nucleotides) under uncultured Corallina sp. RNAcentral's name for it is "bacterial SSU rRNA". It matches the Rfam family "Bacterial small subunit ribosomal RNA", at positions 25 to 727 of the family's 1533-position model. Lineage: Eukaryota; Rhodophyta; Florideophyceae; Corallinales; Corallinaceae. The record is from RNAcentral.